Molecule: unclassified non-coding RNA, 210 nt
Filed under: Hevea brasiliensis (rubber tree)
Lineage: Eukaryota; Viridiplantae; Streptophyta; Magnoliopsida; Malpighiales; Euphorbiaceae
Source: RNAcentral
ACUGGAACCAUAUUCUGAUAAAUCAACCGAAUCAUCCAAAGAAGAUUGGUCAUCCUGAAACUCAUAGAAUCUUCGGUCAGCAUCAGAAUCUACUCUAUUCAAUCGAUCCAUACCUAAAGUAACACGUUCAUCUCGUAAUGGUAAAUCAGCAGCAUUAUACUCAUCCUCCUCACUUUUAGAUAGCACAUCAUCUUUUCUACUUUCGUUAUG